This 810-nucleotide ribosomal RNA is filed under the name uncultured bacterium. Its description in RNAcentral is "bacterial SSU rRNA". It matches the Rfam family "Bacterial small subunit ribosomal RNA", at positions 1 to 803 of the family's 1533-position model. The record is from RNAcentral.
UAGAGUUUGAUCCUGGCUCAGGAUGAACGCUAGCUACAGGCUUAACACAUGCAAGUCGAGGGGAAACGGCAUUGAGUGCUUGCACUCUUUGGACGUCGACCGGCGCACGGGUGAGUAACGCGUAUCCAACCUUCCCAUUACUGUGGGAUAACCUGCCGAAAGGCAGACUAAUACCGCAUAGUCUUCGAUGACGGCAUCAGAUUUGAAGUAAAGAUUUAUCGGUAAUGGAUGGGGAUGCGUCUGAUUAGCUUGUUGGCGGGGUAACGGCCCACCAAGGCUACGAUCAGUAGGGGUUCUGAGAGGAAGGUCCCCCACAAUUGGAACUGAGACACGGUCCAAACUCCUACGGGAGGCAGCAGUGAGGAAUAUUGGUCAAUGGACGGAAGUCUGAACCAGCCAAGUAGCGUGCAGGAUGACGGCCCUAUGGGUUGUAAACUGCUUUUGUAUGGGGAUAAAGUUAGGGACGUGUCCCUAUUUGCAGGUACCAUACGAAUAAGGACCGGCUAAUUCCGUGCCAGCAGCCGCGGUAAUACGGAAGGUCCAGGCGUUAUCCGGAUUUAUUGGGUUUAAAGGGAGCCUCGCCUGGAGAUUAAGUGUGUUGUGAAAUGUAGACGCUCAACGUCUGAAUUGCAGCGCAUACUGGUUUCCUUGAGUACGCACAACGUUGGCGGAAUUCGUCGUGUAGCGGUGAAAUGCUUAGAUAUGACGAAGAACUCCGAUUGCGAAGGCAGCUGACGGGAGCGCAACUGACGCUUAAGCUCGAAGGUGCGGGUAUCAAACAGGAUUAGAUACCCUGGUAGUCCGCACAGU